GUUAGCGGCGGACGGGUGAGUAACACGUGGGUAACCUACCUAUAAGACUGGGAUAACUUCGGGAAACCGGAGCUAAUACCGGAUAAUAUUUCGAACCGCAUGGUUCGAUAGUGAAAGAUGGUUUUGCUAUCACUUAUAGAUGGACCCGCGCCGUAUUAGCUAGUUGGUAAGGUAACGGCUUACCAAGGCGACGAUACGUAGCCGACCUGAGAGGGUGAUCGGCCACACUGGAACUGAGACACGGUCCAGACUCCUACGGGAGGCAGCAGUAGGGAAUCUUCCGCAAUGGGCGAAAGCCUGACGGAGCAACGCCGCGUGAGUGAUGAAGGUCUUCGGAUCGUAAAACUCUGUUAUUAGGGAAGAACAUACGUGUAAGUAACUAUGCACGUCUUGACGGUACCUAAUCAGAAAGCCACGGCUAACUACGUGCCAGCAGCCGCGGUAAUACGUAGGUGGCAAGCGUUAUCCGGAAUUAUUGGGCGUAAAGCGCGCGUAGGCGGUUUUUUAAGUCUGAUGUGAAAGCCCACGGCUCAACCGUGGAGGGUCAUUGGAAACUGGAAAACUUGAGUGCAGAAGAGGAGAGUGGACUUCCAUGUGUAGCGGUGAAUGCGCAGAGAUGUGGA
This 623-nucleotide ribosomal RNA is filed under the name Staphylococcus devriesei. Its description in RNAcentral is "bacterial SSU rRNA". It matches the Rfam family "Bacterial small subunit ribosomal RNA", at positions 91 to 702 of the family's 1533-position model. Lineage: Bacteria; Bacillati; Bacillota; Bacilli; Caryophanales; Staphylococcaceae. The record is from RNAcentral.